UCCUAGCCCUGAUGGGAGCGGCAUCCUGUGGCUCUGGGGUUCAGAGCCACAGAUAUAGCGGACAGCAGGAUUAAGC
Small RNA from Flavobacterium succinicans, 76 nucleotides. It matches the Rfam family "Flavo-1 RNA". The record is from Rfam. Lineage: Bacteria; Pseudomonadati; Bacteroidota; Flavobacteriia; Flavobacteriales; Flavobacteriaceae.